This 253-nucleotide ribosomal RNA is filed under the name uncultured bacterium. Its description in RNAcentral is "partial 16S ribosomal RNA". It matches the Rfam family "Bacterial small subunit ribosomal RNA", at positions 524 to 776 of the family's 1533-position model. The record is from RNAcentral.
GACGGAGGAUGCAAGCGUUAUCCGGAAUGAUUGGGCGUAAAGCGUCCGCAGGUGGCAGUUCAAGUCUGCUGUCAAAGACCGGGGCUUAACUUCGGAAAGGCAGUGGAAACUGAACAGCUAGAGUAUGGUAGGGGCAGAGGGAAUUCCUGGUGUAGCGGUGAAAUGCGUAGAGAUCAGGAAGAACAUCGGUGGCGAAGGCGCUCUGCUGGACCAUAACUGACACUCAGAGACGAAAGCUAGGGGAGCGAAUGGG